GAUGAACGCUGGCGGCGUGCCUAAUACAUGCAAGUCGAGCGAACAGAUGAGGAGCUUGCUCCUCUGACGUUAGCGGCGGACGGGUGAGUAGCACGUGGAUAACCUACCUAUAAGACUGGGAUAACUUCGGGAAACCGGAGCUAAUACCGGAUAAUAUAUUGAACCGCAUGGUUCAAUAGUGAAAGACGGUUUUGCUGUCACUUAUAGAUGGAUCCGCGCCGCAUUAGCUAGUUGGUAAGGUAACGGCUUACCAAGGCAACGAUGCGUAGCCGACCUGAGAGGGUGAUCGGCCACACUGGAACUGAGACACGGUCCAGACUCCUACGGGAGGCAGCAGUAGGGAAUCUUCCGCAAUGGGCGAAAGCCUGACGGAGCAACGCCGCGUGAGUGAUGAAGGUCUUCGGAUCGUAAACCUCUGUUAUUAGGGAAGAACAAAUGUGUAAGUAACUAUGCACGUCUUGACGGUACCUAAUCAGAAAGCCACGGCUAACUACGUG
RNAcentral lists this ribosomal RNA (497 nucleotides) under uncultured bacterium. Its description in RNAcentral is "partial 16S ribosomal RNA". It matches the Rfam family "Bacterial small subunit ribosomal RNA", at positions 28 to 507 of the family's 1533-position model. The record is from RNAcentral.